Molecule: unclassified non-coding RNA, 279 nt
Filed under: plant metagenome
Description: partial contains small subunit ribosomal RNA, internal transcribed spacer 1, and 5.8S ribosomal RNA
Rfam family: Eukaryotic small subunit ribosomal RNA (bases 1-54)
Source: RNAcentral
GGUAGUAAAAGUCGUAACAAGGUUUCCGUAGGUGAACCUGCGGAAGGAUCAUUAACGAGUUAGGGUCUUCUAGGCCCGACCUCCCAACCCUUUGUUUACUGAACCAUUGUUGCCUCGGUGGGUCCGUCUUACGACCGCCGGGGGAUCGCCGCGAGGCGCCCCCUGGCCAGCGCCCACCGAUAGCCCAACCUUUAAAACCCUUUGUGAAUCGUGUCUUAUGUCUAAAUUUAUGAUUAAACAAUCAAAACAAAACUUUCAACAACGGAUCUCUUGGUUCUG